ACUCCUACGGGAGGCAGCAGUGGGGAAUAUUGGACAAUGGGCGAAAGCCUGAUGGAGCAACGCCGCGUGAAGGAUGAAGGCCCUCGGGUUGUAAACUUCUUUUAUGAGUGAAGAAUAUGACGGUAACUCAUGAAUAAGCACCGGCUAACUACGUGCCAGCAGCCGCGGUAAU
Molecule: ribosomal RNA, 172 nt
Filed under: uncultured bacterium
Lineage: Bacteria
Description: partial 16S ribosomal RNA
Rfam family: Bacterial small subunit ribosomal RNA
Source: RNAcentral